This 344-nucleotide transfer-messenger RNA is filed under the name Pseudo-nitzschia fraudulenta. It matches the Rfam family "transfer-messenger RNA". Rfam says of the family: Bacterial tmRNA, also known as 10Sa RNA or SsrA, is named for its dual tRNA and mRNA-like properties. Its role is to liberate the mRNA from a stalled ribosome. To accomplish this part of the tmRNA is used as a reading frame that ends in a translation stop signal. Lineage: Eukaryota; Bacillariophyta; Bacillariophyceae; Bacillariales; Bacillariaceae. The record is from RNAcentral.
GGCCGACCGGCAUCGACCGGACAGGGAAUGUGUGUCGUGGCGCGUCGCGGCGAAUGCAACCGCGUUAUCAAGCGUUCACACUUAUAACUGCCGAACCGCAGUUUGCUAUGGCCGCCUAAUAAAGUGGCCUGAGCGUCGUCCGACGCCCGAUGGGGUGACGCUCAAUGACAUCGGGCUGGCCGAAAGGCGGCGUCUCAGCGCCGAUCGGCGAGAACUUUCUGAGGCUGGCGCGCUGAGCAGGGUGUCCUGCUCGGCUCAGCGAGCGAGAUGAAAUCAGCGACUACACGCGUAGAAGCGGCACGCGGACUGUUCCGACACGGGGGUUCGAUUCCCCCCGGCUCCAC